GUGGGGAAUCUUGCGCAAUGGGCGAAAGCCUGACGCAGCCAUGCCGCGUGAAUGAUGAAGGUCUUAGGAUUGUAAAAUUCUUUCACCGGGGACGAUAAUGACGGUACCCGGAGAAGAAGCCCCGGCUAACUUCGUGCCAGCAGCCGCGGUAAUACGAAGGGGGCUAGCGUUGCUCGGAAUUACUGGGCGUAAAGGGCGCGUAGGCGGACAGUUUAGUCAGAGGUGAAAGCCCAGGGCUCAACCUUGGAAUUGCCUUUGAUACUGGCUGUCUUGAGUACGGGAGAGGUGAGUGGAACUACGAGUGUAGAGGUGAAAUUCGUAGAUAUUCGGAAGAACACCAGUGGCGAAGGCGACUCACUGGCCCGUUACUGACGCUGAGGCGCGAAAGCGUGGGGAGCAAACAGGAUUAGAUACCCCUGUAGUCC
RNAcentral lists this ribosomal RNA (425 nucleotides) under uncultured bacterium. RNAcentral describes it as "partial 16S ribosomal RNA". It matches the Rfam family "Bacterial small subunit ribosomal RNA", at positions 354 to 796 of the family's 1533-position model. The record is from RNAcentral.